GCGCGGGCGGUUUUGUAAGACAGAGGUGAAAUCCCCGGGCUCCCCUGGGAACUGCCUUUGUGACUGCAAGGCUGGAGUGCGGCAAAGGGGGAUGGAAUUCCGCGUGUACCAUUGAAUGGCGUAAAUAUGCGGAGGAACACCGAUGGGGAAGGCAAUCCCCUGGGCCUGCACUGACGCUCAUGCACGAAAGCGUGGGGAGCAAACAGGAUUAUAUACCCUGGUAGUCCGCACCCUAAACGAUGUCAACUGGUUGUUGGGUCUUCACUGACUCAGUAACGAAGCUAACGCGUGAAGUUGACCGCCUGGGGAGUACGGCCGCAGGGUUGAAACUCAAAGGAAUUGACGGGGACCCCCACAGGCGGGGGAUGAUGUGGUUUAAUUCAAUGCAACGCGGAAAACCUUACCCACCUUUGACAUGGCAGGAAGUUUCCAGAGAUGGAUUCGUGCCCGAAAGGGAACCUGCACACAGGUGCUGCAUGGCUGUCGUCAGCUCGUGUCGUGAGAUGUUGGGUUAAGUCCCGCAGCGAGCGCAACCCUUGCCAUUAGUUGCUACGAAAGGGCACUCUAAUGGGACUGCCGGUGACAAACCGGAGGAAGGUGGGGAUGACUUCAAGUCCUCAUGGCCCUUAUAGGUGGGGCUACACACGUCAUACAAUGGCUGGUACAGAGGGUUGCCAACCCGCGAGGAGGAGCUAAUCCCAUAAAGCCAGUCGUAGUCCGGAUCGCAGUCUGCAACUCGACUGCGUGAAGUCGGAAUCGCUAGUAAUCGCGGAUCAGAAUGUCGCGGUGAAUACGUUCCCGGGUCUUGUACACACCGCCCGUCACACCAUGGGAGCGGGUUCUGCCAGAUGUAGGUAGCCUAACCGUAAGGAGGGCGC
Molecule: ribosomal RNA, 878 nt
Filed under: uncultured bacterium
Lineage: Bacteria
Description: bacterial SSU rRNA
Rfam family: Bacterial small subunit ribosomal RNA
Source: RNAcentral